Long non-coding RNA from Gallus gallus (chicken), 1920 nucleotides. Lineage: Eukaryota; Metazoa; Chordata; Aves; Galliformes; Phasianidae. The record is from Ensembl.
CCCAGACCUCAUUUAAUGGGUGGCAGUGGAAGUAAGGGUGUUUUUGUUGGAGAUCUGCAAGUACCUGAGGCCUUCCAAAGCAAAUGUGACCAGAAGGAAUCUGACACAACCAACCCUUCCUUUGCAAUCAACGUGGGAUCCAAAACAAACCUUCGGCGCUCUCGGCAUCGCUGCCCAGGGAACCAGGCAUCCUGCAAAUAAACACUGAAUUGCAAAUCUGCGAGGGAGCUGAAUACAGCAUCACAGCCAUACUUCUUUCUGGUGGAUUGGCUCAGAAGAGAAGUUCUGUACAUGGGCUUUGGUAACAUCCAGCCAAGAGCUGAGUUUCGAGGGCCAGGAACUGCAGAUGGGCACACAGAUAGGUCAAACCUUGGUUUUUUUUUUCCCCCAGAAGGCACAUUUGGUGUCCAGUCUGCAAACACAGGUGACUUUAAGAGCAACUCCGGCCAUUAAUGCCCUUCUUGUUUUACCUUUUGUAAAAAGUUACAAGGAUUUUUAUCUAGGGUAAAACAUAUAGAUAGAUAGAUAGAUAGAUUUGCAGCUGGGAGCUGCUUUAUGCAGGCACAGCCUCUCUCUUGGCCACGGCCUUUUGGGCCAGGCAUGGUACAGUCUGUGGGUUGUAAACGUCAUUGAGCGAGUCAGCAGCUUUCCCCAUGAAACCAUCUCAAAGCCUUCCCCUGUUGCUGCACAUUUAAUUUCCCCAUUCAGGGGCCAGUGAGAGUAAAGGCAACCUGUGUAUGGAAACUUUUAAUUAAACUACAAAUAUAGAGUCGAGUCAUUUCUGGCGGAGGUGUAAAUAGUCUGUGGGAGAAGUGCUGAGUUGUGGGAGAGGAAGGCAGCAUUUGUAUCCAGCCCUGGAAUUUGUCCAUUCGUCACACUGUUGUCCCAGGAUCACAGAUCCAUUAAGGUUGGAAAAGACUUCCAAGAUCAUCCAGUUCAGUCGUCCACCUACCACCAAUAUUUCCCAGUGAUCCCAUGUUCCUUAGUACCACAUCUACACAUCUUGAACACAUCCAGAGACAGUGACUCCACCACCUCCCUGGGCAGCAGUGCCAGUGCCUGACCGCUCUUUCGAAGGCCAUCACCUCUUGUCCUGUCGCUGUUACUCAGGAGAAGAGGCUGACACCCACCUUGCCACAACCCCCUGUCAAGGAGUUGCAGAGGGCAAUAAGGUCUCCCCUGAGCCUCCUCCUCUCCACCCUCCACAGCUCCCAUCAGUCCUUCUCUGUUCGUGAACAUCAGGUCUAGUGGAGCACCUUCAUCUUCCUUGGUAGGCUCUCUUACCAGCUGUGCCUCAUUAUUCCCUUCCCCUUUCACAUCCAGUUUAAAGCAUUCUCAACAAGCCUUGCCAGCUCCUGGGCUAGGAUCUGUUUCCCCUUUGAGAUAGGUGAGACCCAUCUAUAGCCAUUAGGCCAGGCACGAGAAAACCUCCCCAGGGUCAAAAAAGCCAAAAUUCCUGCUAGGGCACCACCCUCUUAGCCACAUAUUUGUCAGAUAGGCUUUCCUAUUCUUCUCAGUAUCCCUCCCUGCCAUUGAAGGGAUAGAGGGAAAUAUGACCUGUACUUUCUCCAUCAACUAACUGCCCCAAUCCCCUGAAGUCCCUUUUGAUAGUCCUCAAGCUUCUGUCAGCUAUUUCAUUGCUGCCAGCCUGAACUGUCAGUAAAGGGUAAUAAUCAGAGGGGUGAACCAGACCCAGUCUUUAGUGAGGCAUCGGACUUUCCUACAGGUAGGUUAUGCUGACAGAUGGGGCCUUCUGUGCCCCUCGGAAAGGAAUUGCCUGUGACAGUUACCCUUCUUUAAUUCUUGGUGGGGGCAGUUUUGAGGCAUGUAGUAGUUGGCUGCCUUGUCCUAAACAACCUCCUGGGUGGACCUUCCAUGGCAGCUGGAACUGGAGUUGAAGCUGAUCCAAUGGCAUGUCAG